AACGCGAAGAACCUUACCUGGGCUUGACAUGUAGUAGACAGUAGUAGAAAUACUAUCUUCCCGCAAGGGACUAUUACACAGGUGCUGCAUGGCUGUCGUCAGCUCGUGCCGUGAGGUGUUGGGUUAAGUCCCGCAACGAGCGCAACCCUUGUCGUUAGUUGCCAGCGCGUAAUGGCGGGCACUCUAGCGAGACUGCCUAGGUUAACUAGGAGGAAGGUGAGGAUGACGUCAAGUCCGCAUGGCCUUUAUGCCCAGGGCUACACACGUGCUACAAUGGUCGGUACAGAAGGGAGCAAAACCGUGAGGUGAAGCAAAUCCUCAAAGCCGGCCCCAGUUCAGAUUGUAGUCUGCAACUCGACUACAUGAAGAUGGAAUUGCUAGUAAUGGCGAGUCAGCAACAUCGCCGUGAAUACGUUCCCGGGCCUUGUACACACCGUACGUC
RNAcentral lists this ribosomal RNA (442 nucleotides) under uncultured bacterium. RNAcentral's name for it is "bacterial SSU rRNA". It matches the Rfam family "Bacterial small subunit ribosomal RNA", at positions 958 to 1398 of the family's 1533-position model. The record is from RNAcentral.